GCUAAACCAGGUUGAAGUGAAGCUUCCCUGUAGCAGUGCUAAACCAGGUUGAAGUGAAGCUUCCCUGUAGCAGAGCUAAACCAGGUUGAAGUGAAGCUUCCCUGUAGCAGAGCUAAACCAGGUUGAAGUGUUGACUGGAGGUUGCAGGGCACCACCCUCUGCUGCUAUGUACUAAAGCAGUGGUCACCAACCUUUUCUGAGUCCAGACCAAUUUCUGAGUCCAAAAGCAAACCGCUCAGAUUUUUUAUUUACAUGACUUAAAAAAUGUAAGCCUAUGCAACAUUAACCAAUUAAAAACAGUACUGUAGUAAUGAGGUUUGUGCAGUAGGCUAUAGGCCCAAUACAUUAUCACUGUAUAUUGGCUAGGCUUGAAUUACCCUGCCAAUGUUGUUUUUCGCAGGACAUUCUAAAAUUAUAUUUCAACAUUGUAGGUAUAUGAUCAGACUGGUAAUAGAUAAUUUGAUGUAUUACUUGUGAGUGACAAAAUAAUAAUAUUUUUUGAUUUUACUGUACUGAUGGCCUGCAUCUGAUGGUCAGUCUGAGGGGAGGGAGGGAGCAGCGGUGAAGCAGCCUCUCAAACGACUCACCGUCCCUCCCUCCUCUGAGAAAAGGGUAAACAGUCUUCCAGCUGAUGGCAAAACUCAAAGUCGCACUGCAUUAUUUCUGCCUCAUGCACCCACGGCUGAGUGAGCAUAAUAAUUCGCUUUUUUUUUUUACUGUACUGAUGGCCUGCAUCUGAUGGUCAGUCUGAGGGGAGGGAGGGAGCAGCGGUGAAGCAGCCUCUCAAACGACUCACCAUCCCUCCUCUGAGAAAAGGGGACACAGUCUUCCAGCUGAUGGUGAAACUCAAGUCGCACCACAUUAUUUCUGCCUCAUGCACCAAUUCAUGCUGUUACUCCUAUGACCAGAGAAAGUGUCAUUUUCCUUGAUAUUGAAAAAGACACAAGCUGCUAAUAAUAACUAAGGCUUAUUAAAACACUUUCCUACUCAUUCAUUGCAGCUGCAGUGCUGGUUGUAGAAUGAGUGGAAGUAGGGAGAACACGCAUUUUAUGGUUUAUGAAAGUGUUGACGUUGCUGAAUAACAACUUAAACAUGUACUUAGUUGUAAAAACAGCAGCUCUUUGCUGUAUUCAUCGAGUCUCUCUCUCGAGUCAUGGUUUUAAGUGUUUUGAAAUCUCACAGUAUCAACUUUGCUGUGCAUUUGAGGCUUCUUUUUACAGCCUA
Molecule: long non-coding RNA, 1224 nt
Filed under: Salmo salar (Atlantic salmon)
Lineage: Eukaryota; Metazoa; Chordata; Actinopteri; Salmoniformes; Salmonidae
Description: lncRNA (ENSSSAG00000122097.1)
Source: RNAcentral